Oncorhynchus nerka (sockeye salmon) is the source of this 949-nucleotide long non-coding RNA. RefSeq lists it as uncharacterized. The transcript has 2 exons. The record is from RefSeq and is a predicted model, not a curated record. Lineage: Eukaryota; Metazoa; Chordata; Actinopteri; Salmoniformes; Salmonidae.
UGUGGUCUUUAAGCUUCUCGGUAGGAGUCCCACCUGUGGUCUUUAAGCUUCUCGGUAGGAGUCCCACCUGUGGUCUUUAAGCUUCUCGGUAGGAGUCCCACCUGUGGUCUUUAAGCUUCUCGGUAGGAGUCCCACCUGUGGUCUUUAAGCUUCUCGGUAGGAGUCCCACCUGUGGUCUUUAAGCUUCUCGGUAGGAGUCCCACCUGUGGUCUUUAAGCUUCUCGGUAGGAGUCCCACCUGUGGUCUUUAAGCUUCUCGGUAGGAGUCCCACCUGUGGUCUUUAAGCUUCUCGGUAGGAGUCCCACCUGUGGUCUUUAAGCUUCUCGGUAGGAGUCCCACCUGUGGUCUUUAAGCUUCUCGGUAGGAGUCCCACCUGUGGUCUUUAAGCUUCUCGGUAGGAGUCCCACCUGUUAUCUUGAAGCUUCUCGGUAGGAGUCCCACCUGUGGUCUUUAAGCUUGUUGAUUUAAGUUCUAAAAGACUAAACUGAUCCUAGAUCAGCAUUUCUGCUCUGAGACCCUUUAUGAAUACAGGCAUUGUGCUUUUUCAACAACAACAACAACAGAAAAAUGGCAGUUCUCUCUUCCCCUCCUCUCUCUUGAUCUUUCUCUCUGAUUUAAAAUGCAGUUUUUUUGCACUGACCCGUCACUAUCAAUGCUUUUGUUCCACUGUUUGCCGAGUUGCUCUGUGAAAAAUGUAAAUGACACACAAAAAAAUACAUUGUUAAAAAAACAACCCAAAAAAAUGUAUGAAUAACGUUGGAUGUUUUAUCUGCUUUUUACAAGCUUUGGGGAAACGAUACGCAGGUGUAGAAAAGUGUACAAUAGUCUUGUUAAUGAUUGUAAAAUGAAAUAACAAUUGUGGAUGAAAGCACACUUUCUGGAAUUGUAAUUUUUUUAAACUGCUAGUGUCGUGUGUUUUGUAAUAGAACAAUUAUAACUAUUUACAACA